GAUCGCUUUACCAAGAUUCACACCUUUGAGAUGCACAUUAUAAAGGCGAAGGAGAACUAUGCAGGGAAUUACAGAUGUGAGGUCAACUACAAAGACAAAUUUGAUAGUUGCUCUUUUGACCUGGAGAUCAAAGAAGUCUCAGACGGUUCUCAAAACAUUGACAUCCGCUCAGCUUUCAAAAGAAGGUAAAGG
This is a long non-coding RNA of Sinocyclocheilus grahami, 192 nucleotides long. RefSeq lists it as uncharacterized. The record is from RefSeq and is a predicted model, not a curated record. Lineage: Eukaryota; Metazoa; Chordata; Actinopteri; Cypriniformes; Cyprinidae. The transcript is spliced from 3 exons.